CCCGGAGUUGGGCCUGCGCUCUGGACGCUCCUGCCGGAAGUGGGCGGGAUCGCGUUCCAACGGGGCAAGGGCGAUGAGAGCGCGGAGGAGGCGCCGGUGGCAGAGUUUGGGGCGGGGACUGUCCCCAAUGCUCCGCAGCAAGGUGGGCUGAUUGUGGAGGCUAAAGCAACUCUAUCUUGCCGGCUUAUCCACCAUGUGGACUUCUAAUUAAUCUCAGUUGCCGGAAUGCCUCUAAGAUUUCUACAUUAUCUACUGUGAAGAGCAAGUAAUUACUGCAAAUCCUGCCCUUGGGUCAAAACAACCUUGAUGACAUAUUCCUUCUGAAGCACAUAUACUCUUUCCCUAGCUGCCUGCCCUGCAGACUUCAGGCUCCAGCAUCAGACACAGAGACCCAGCGUUAUGGAGACUGUCUAACCAGAUCUCACAAUUGUGGAAGAUCCCAACUCCUACAAAAAUCUCUUAAAAACCACGUGUGGCUGGGCACAGUGGCUCAUGUAUGUAAUUCUAGCACUUUGGGAGGCCGAGGUGAGUGGAUCUCUUGAGCCCAGGAGUUUGAGACCAGCCUGGAGCAACAUGGUGAAACUGUGUCUCUACAAAAGAUACAAAAAUUAGCUGGGCAUGGUGGCAUGCGCCUGUAGUCCCAGCUACUCAGGAGGCUGAGGUGGGAGGGUGACUUGAGCCCAGGAAUUGAAGGCUGUAGUGAGCUGUGAUUGUGCCCCUGCACUCCAGCUGGGGUGACAGAGCGAGCCCCUGUCUCAAAAACAAUCCCUCCCCCCAAAAAAGUCACCUGGAUGAGGCCAGGCGCGGUGGCUCAUGCCUGUAAUCCCAGCACUUUGGGAGGCUGAGGUGGGCGGAUCACGAGGUUAGGAAAUCGAGACCAUCCUGGCUAACAUGGUGAAACCCUGACUCUACUAAAAAUACAAAAAUUAGCCGGGCGUGGUGGCGGGCACUUGUAGUCCCAGCUACUCAGGAGGCUGAGGCAGGAAAAUGGCGUGAACCCAGGAGGCGGAGCUUGCAGUGAGCCGAGAUUGCACCACUGCACUCCAGCCUGGGCGACAAAGCAAGACUCCGUCUCAAAAAAAAAAAAUAAAUAAAUAAAUAAAUAAAAUAAAUAAAAGUCACCUGGAUGAAGCCUGUGCAGCCAUUUCAGCCAAAGAUGCUACUGGAGA
Molecule: long non-coding RNA, 1169 nt
Organism: Gorilla gorilla gorilla (western lowland gorilla)
Lineage: Eukaryota; Metazoa; Chordata; Mammalia; Primates; Hominidae
Exons: 3
Source: RefSeq, a predicted model, not a curated record